RNAcentral lists this long non-coding RNA (1243 nucleotides) under Brassica napus (rape). RNAcentral describes it as "long non-coding RNA (BNAP_LNC001747)". Lineage: Eukaryota; Viridiplantae; Streptophyta; Magnoliopsida; Brassicales; Brassicaceae. The record is from RNAcentral.
AAAAAUUACACUUUCACAUACUUUUUCUUUUUCCUCUAUUUUGAACUUGACACAUACUUUUCACAUGUAUUUUACCCAAAAAAACCUUCAAACUAAACAAACUGUAUUAACAUCUAUUUUACAAUUGAUUAAAAUUUACUACGAACCUAAUUUCUAAAUCACAAACCUAAAUCUACAAUAUUUAUCUAUAAAAUGAAAACUUUCCAAAAAUAGCAGUUUUUAAGAAAUUAUUUUAAAAUACAACAUAUUGAUGAAAAAUUCUUAAAGAGUAUUCAUCUGUCCACAAAUAGUCUAGUUAUCCUAAUUUCUAAAUCACAAACCUAAAUCUACAAUAUUUAUCUAUAAAAUGAAAACUUUCCAAAAAUAGCAGUUUCUAAAAAAAAUAUUAAAAAAUACAACACAUUGAUGAAAAAUUCUUAAAUAAUACUCAUCUAUCCACAAAUAUUCUUGUUAUCCUAAUUUCUUACUCACAAACCCAAAGUAUUCAUCUGUCCACAAAUACUCUAGUUAUCCUAAUUUCUAAAUCACAAACCUAAAUCUACAAUAUUUAUCUAUAAAAUGAAAAUUUUCCAAAAAUGGCAGUUUCUAAGAAAAAUAUUAAAAAAUACAACACGUUGAUGAAAAAUUCUUAAAUAAUACUGAUCUAUCCACAAAUAUUCUUGUUAUCCUAAUUUCUUAAUCACAAACCCAAAUCUACAAUAUUUAUCAAUAAAAUAAAAACUUUCCAAAAAUAGCAGUUUUUAAGAAAAUUACUUAAAAAUACAACACAUUGAUGAAAAAAUCUUAAAUAAUAUUCACCCAUCCACAAAUAUUCUUGUUAUCCUAAUUUUUAAAUUACAAACCCAAAUCUACAAUAUUUAUCAAUAAAAUGAAAACUUUCCAAAAAUAGUAGUUUUUAAGAAAAUUAUUUAAAAAUACAACACUUUGAUGAAAAAUUAUUAAAUAAUAUUAAUCUAUCCACAAAUAUUCUUUUUCUUCAAAUUUUUAAAUCACAAACCCAAAUCUACAAUAUUUCUCUAAAAAAUGAAAACUUUCCAAAAAUAGCAGUUUUUAAGAAAAUUAUUUAAAAAUUCAACAUAUUAAUGAAAAAUUCUUAAUUAGUAUUCAUCUGUCCACAAAUAGUCUAGUUAUCCUAAUUUCUAAAUCACAAACCUAAAUCUACAAUAUUUAUCUAUAAAAUGAAAACUAUCCAAAAAUAGAAGUUUUUAAGAAAAUUAUUUAAAAAUACAACAUAUUGAUGAAA